This 496-nucleotide ribosomal RNA is filed under the name uncultured bacterium. Its description in RNAcentral is "partial 16S ribosomal RNA". It matches the Rfam family "Bacterial small subunit ribosomal RNA", at positions 28 to 506 of the family's 1533-position model. The record is from RNAcentral.
GACGAACGCUGGCGGCGUGCCUAUACAUGCCAGUCGGGCGGACGGAAGGGAGCUUGCUCCCAGACCGUCAGCGGCGGACGGGUGAGUAACACGUGGGCAACCUGCCUGUAAGACUGGGAUAACUCCGGGAAACCGGGGCUAAUACCGGAUAACUCUUUCCCUCACAUGAGGGAAAGCUGAAAGAUGGCAUCUCGCUAUCACUUACAGAUGGGCCCGCGGCGCAUUAGCUAGUUGGUGAGGUAACGGCUCACCAAGGCGACGAUGCGUAGCCGACCUGAGAGGGUGAUCGGCCACACUGGGACUGAGACACGGCCCAGACUCCUACGGGAGGCAGCAGUAGGGAAUCUUCCGCAAUGGACGAAAGUCUGACGGAGCAACGCCGCGUGAGUGAUGAAGGUUUUCGGAUCGUAAAACUCUGUUGUCAGGGAAGAACAAGUACCGGAGUAACUGCCGGUACCUUGACGGUACCUGACCAGAAAGCCACGGCUAACUACGU